GAUGAACGCUGGCGGCGUGCCUAAUACAUGCAAGUCGAGCGAACAGACGAGGAGCUUGCUCCUCUGACGUUAGCGGCGGACGGGUGAGUAACACGUGGAUAACCUACCUAUAAGACUGGGAUAACUUCGGGAAACCGGAGCUAAUACCGGAUAAUAUAUUGAACCGCAUGGUUCAAUAGUGAAAGACGGUUUUGCUGUCACUUAUAGAUGGAUCCGCGCCGCAUUAGCUAGUUGGUAAGGUAACGGCUUACCAAGGCAACGAUGCGUAGCCGACCUGAGAGGGGGAUCGGCCACACUGGAACUGAGACACGGUCCAGACCCCUACGGGAGGCAGCAGUAGGGAAUCUUCCGCAAUGGGCGAAAGCCUGACGGAGCAACGCCGCGUGAGUGAUGAAGGUCUUCGGAUCGUAAAACUCUGUUAUUAGGGAAGAACAAAUGUGUAAGUAACUAUGCACGUCUUGACGGUACCUAAUCAGAAAGCCACGGCUAACUACGUG
This 497-nucleotide ribosomal RNA is filed under the name uncultured bacterium. RNAcentral's name for it is "partial 16S ribosomal RNA". It matches the Rfam family "Bacterial small subunit ribosomal RNA", at positions 28 to 507 of the family's 1533-position model. The record is from RNAcentral.